Long non-coding RNA from Panthera uncia (snow leopard), 1887 nucleotides. RefSeq lists it as uncharacterized. Lineage: Eukaryota; Metazoa; Chordata; Mammalia; Carnivora; Felidae. The record is from RefSeq and is a predicted model, not a curated record. The transcript is spliced from 2 exons.
GUCAGAGGCUUAGCCAACUUACGACCCAGGCGCCAUAAAAAUUACAUUUAGAAGAAGGAAUUGAGUGAGGUUACAAGUUUUUAAUCAGAAUUGUCAGCCGGAACUCUUGGAAAGAAGGAAAUGUUGGAGGACUCUGCAUCCAAAAGAUAGGAAACAGAUCAAAUGUCCCUCAUUUGAAGGGCCUGGCUAAACUAUGGCCCCUCGCAUGGUGAACUACAACAAAGAAUGAGCCAGCUCUUUAUAGAGGAAGUGAAUUUUGAAAACCACCAGUCAGACCAUGUACCUCCUGAUCUCAAUAACUAGCGUCUUCCUUUCUCAUUCAAGAAAGUCUGAGUCCUAGAGUGGCUUAUAAAGUCCCCUGCAGUUUGGCCCAGUUCACUGAUUUUCACAGAUGCUCCUUCUGUUUCGUCUUCCUCUUCUCAAACAGGCUGGGCACCCUCUGCUUCAGGGCCUUGUCACCUGCUGUUCCCUCUGCCUGGAAUGCCCUGCCUCAGACUAGUAUGGCUCUCUUCUUUUGGGGCUUUGGGGCUUUGCGCAGAUUUCACCCUCUCAAUUAGGGCCUGUCCUGACCUUUCAGUUUAAAAUUGCAACUCCCCAUCUCUGUUCUCUGCCUUUUUUUUUUUUCUACGUGGUGUCUAUUGAAUAUGUAACUAUAUUGAAUAUAAAGCUAUACAUUCAUUAGGCAACUCAGAAAGAAUUCAUGAGAACAUGGUGCCAGCAGUUGUCUCUGUGGAGAACAACUAGCAGCAGGGUGAGAUUAAAAUUUAUCCUUUUCUCUUUUUUCCUCACUCCUAUCUGCAUUACAAAAAAAAAAAAAAAAAUUAACAUCAGCCCCGAGUUUAUGGCACAGACAUGUACUGAGCACCUGUGCUGUGCCAGGCAUUAUGUUAGGCGUUGGGGUAGAGAGACAGCAGACAGGACAUGUAGGGUAAAGACUCUGGGUAAUAGUUUAGAGGAGAGAAGGCACCCAAAUCAUCCUGGCGAGGGAAAGGGGAAGCCGCAGGCGGGACAGCACAGUCCAGGGCAUGUGGACUUACUAGAAUGUGACGGUCCCCCAGGGCCUGCUAAGUGGCAGUGAUGGACACAUGGAGAAUGGCCAAUGACAAUUAGAGAAAAGAGACAAAAUACAAAAAAAGGGCAAACUGCAGGGGAUCAUUUGAUGCCAAGCUGAGUUUGGCCAUUAUCCAAGGAGACGCUGAAAGGUCUUUCGAAGGGAAUGACGGGCUGAGAUCUGAACUUAACUUGUGAACUUUCUCCCAUGAGAAUUAAAGCUGCACGAAGCCAGAGGUGACGAACUGGUGGCCUACAGUUUGCUUUGGACCAGGUUUGUUUGUUUGUUUGUUUUGUUUUGUUUUUAAUUGGCCCACAUAAGAACAUGGAGGAACAAGAAUUCGAUAGGAAAACCAUUUGGCAGUAUCUCUUAAAGGUCCUCACGCACCGGGACACACGCACACUUGUGUGCACACACUCAAGACUGCUUGAAGAUUCAGCUUUACUCAAAUGCAGUUUUCCAAGAGAUUCUCCUACUUCAUUCCUCCUUAGCUCUCUUGGACCCUAAAGCAGGCCGCCAACAUACCAGACCCGUGCAGGCCUCUGGCAGCUGACGCUCACCGCGGGGCUGGGAAGUUUGUGCCUUCCAGGUCACUGCCUGUGCUUGGUUUGUGCCAGUCACGGACACAACCGAUGCAGGCUUUACUUAAUUCACCCAAAUGUUGAUGGCCCAGGUGCCCCUAGUAUGGUCUUUACAAGUAGGCAGAGUAACACCCCACCCCCCACUUAUCCACCUCUUAAUAUCCAGAACCUGUGACGAUGCUACCUUAUGUGGCAAAAGGGCUUUGUAGAUGUGACUAAGUUAAAGGUUUUCAUUAAAAAAAAUUUUUUUUUAAA